GGACCUGAAAUGGUCAGCAGGCUCUUCUUCUGGGUGGCUCUUUGUCUCCUCUGUGCAGGACACCUGGAUGCCCGAAUCACCCAGAGCCCAACAUACAAGGUCACAGGGAGAGAAAAGAAGGUGACUCUCAGUUGUCACCAGACAGAUAACCACAACAAUAUGUACUGGUAUCGACAAGACCUGGGGCAUGGGCUGAGGCUGAUCCAUUACUCAGUUGGUGCUGGGAUCACUGACAAAGGAGAUGUUGCUGAUGGGUACAGUGUCUCUAGAUCAAAUACAGAGAACUUUUCCCUCACACUAGACUCAGCCACCCUCUCCCAGACAUCUGUGUACUUCUGUGCCAGCAGUGAAUCCACAGCAUAG
Molecule: non-coding RNA, 363 nt
Organism: Myotis brandtii (Brandt's bat)
Lineage: Eukaryota; Metazoa; Chordata; Mammalia; Chiroptera; Vespertilionidae
Source: the annotation of a RefSeq genome assembly